Molecule: ribosomal RNA, 522 nt
Filed under: uncultured bacterium
Lineage: Bacteria
Description: bacterial SSU rRNA
Rfam family: Bacterial small subunit ribosomal RNA
Source: RNAcentral
CCAGAGAACUUUCCAGAGAUGGAUUGGUGGCCUUCGGGAACUCUGAGACAGGUGCUGCAUGGCUGUCGUCAGCUCGUGUUGUGAAAUGUUGGGUUAAGUCCCGCAACGAGCGCAACCCUUAUCCUUUGUUGCCAGCGGUCCGGCCGGGAACUCAAAGGAGACUGCCAGUGAUAAACUGGAGGAAGGUGGGGAUGACGUCAAGUCAUCAUGGCCCUUACGAGUAGGGCUACACACGUGCUACAAUGGCGCAUACAAAGAGAAGCGACCUCGCGAGAGCAAGCGGACCUCAUAAAGUGCGUCGUAGUCCGGAUUGGAGUCUGCAACUCGACUCCAUGAAGUCGGAAUCGCUAGUAAUCGUGGAUCAGAAUGCCACGGUGAAUACGUUCCCGGGCCUUGUACACACCGCCCGUCACACCAUGGGAGUGGGUUGCAAAAGAAGUAGGUAGCUUAACCUUCGGGAGGGCGCUUACCACUUUGUGAUUCAUGACUGGGGUGAAGUCGUAACAAGGUAGGCGUAGAUGA